CCUACGGGAGGCAGCAGUGGGGAAUAUUGCGCAAUGGGCGAAAGCCUGACGCAGCGACGCCGCGUGAGGGAUGAAGGUCUUCGGAUCGUAAACCUCUGUCAGCAGGGAAGAACGGUCACUGUGCUAAUCAGCAGUGAAUUGACGGUACCUGCAAAGGAAGCACCGGCUAACUCCGUGCCAGCAGCCGCGGUAAUACGGAGGGUGCGAGCGUUAAUCGGAAUUACUGGGCGUAAAGCGCUCGUAGGCGGUAUGUCAAGUCAAGGGUGAAAUCCCCGGGCUCAACGUGGGAACUGCCUUUGAAACUGGCAAACUGGAGUGUGUGAGAGGAUAGUGGAAUUCCAGGUGUAGGAGUGAAAUGCGUAGAUAUCUGGAGGAACAUCAGUGGCGAAGGCGACUAUCUGGCACAUAACUGACGCUGAGGAGCGAAAGCGUGGGUAGCAAACAGGAUUAGAUACCCCAGUAGUC
Molecule: ribosomal RNA, 465 nt
Filed under: uncultured bacterium
Lineage: Bacteria
Description: partial 16S ribosomal RNA
Rfam family: Bacterial small subunit ribosomal RNA
Source: RNAcentral